UGGCGGCGGUGGCGGACGGGAUGAAGGCGUGGGAGGUCAUGCGGGGCCGCGCGUACGCCUUCGACCUCGUGCUCACGGAGGUCAACAUGCCCACGCUCUCCGGAAUCGACCUGCUCUCCAGGAUCGUCGCGGCUGACGAGUGCAAGAACAUCCCCGUUAUAAGUAAGACGCCGGCGUCCGACUAACGCUUCAUAUCAGCUUGAGUAUCAUCAGUGGCGUAAGGCUCAGGACGAUCUGGCAAACGUACUCGAUUUCGCUAUCUAGCAGCUGCUUUAAGCAGGGGAUUCAGCGCAUAUUUUUAUAUGCUAAUUGCUUAACCGUGUAGGCUGGUUUUUGUGUGUGUCUAUGGUCAUACUGCUCCUGGAUAAUCGGAACCAACUUCAAAUGGAUUUGGCGAUCUGCUUUAGUCCCGUGCCGGCUACUUUUAGUCAGUGUCUGUCUCUGCUCUCAGUUGUAACUGAAUUACCGUUGUCAUUGUCGGAUUCUGCUCGAGUAUUGCUAUGGGUAUGCUCCACGUGUCGUGUUUCUGAAUCUUUUUAACUAAUUUGUCUUGUGCGGUAUCUCUUGAUGAAUAAAUUGGCAGCUUAAUUUUGGUGCAAUUUAGGGGAUCAGAGCAAGUUUUUUUGGCAGAAUGACAAUGGUAGUUAUGAGUACUUUUUAAGCGAAUUGUCAUUAAAAAUAUGUUUGAUUGGGAUUGAAGGUCUAACUUUACAUGGGCACACUUUUAAUAGGUAAAUGGAUAUUUUGAGGUCCUAAUUAGGUACUUGAACUAAAACCAUGACACUUAUUAUGGAUCGGAGGGAGUAGCUUAAUUGAGGAACCAUACUAUUUCAUAAUGUGAACAAAUGCCUAUAAAUGGAUAUUUUUCUAUGCUAAUUGCUUAAUUGUAGUUGGCUGAUUUUCUUUUGUUGUCUAUAUGGUCACAUAUGGUACUGCUCCUGGAUAAUUGGAGCUAAAUUCAUAUAGAUUUGGCGAUCUGCUUUAGUCCCAUGUCGGCUACUUUUAGUCAGUGUCUGUCUCUGCUCUUAGUUGUAACUGAAUCACCGUUGUCAUUGUCGGAUUCCGCUCGAGUAUCGCUAUGGGUAUGCUUCACGUGUUGUGUUUCUGAAUCUUU
RNAcentral lists this long non-coding RNA (1114 nucleotides) under Triticum aestivum (bread wheat). Its description in RNAcentral is "long non-coding RNA (TAES_LNC001770)". Lineage: Eukaryota; Viridiplantae; Streptophyta; Magnoliopsida; Poales; Poaceae. The record is from RNAcentral.